Aedes albopictus (Asian tiger mosquito) is the source of this 2190-nucleotide long non-coding RNA. RefSeq lists it as uncharacterized. The transcript is spliced from 2 exons. Lineage: Eukaryota; Metazoa; Arthropoda; Insecta; Diptera; Culicidae. The record is from RefSeq and is a predicted model, not a curated record.
GCUACCCGGAUAAAAACGAACAAUUAAGGCUAUGGGAAAAACAAUUGAAAAACCACAGAUUCUUAUGUUAACAUUGCUUUCUAUUGUGAAUGUAUUGUACAGUAUUUUUAAAAUUUGAUUCUUUUUAAUGAUUACAAAAGAUUUACAUUAGAUUCCAUGGUUACAUACCCAAACAAUAGAUUAACAUUUGAAUUCUUUGUUACUGUUGGAUUCAGCGUUCAAACCAUUAGUUUACAAUAGAAUGUAUCAGUAACAUUGAAAUGUACUGUUUUUCAAUGGUCUGGACGUUUGAAAAAAAAGGGUUUUUGCUUGGGUUUUUGAGUAAUUCCGAAACAGUGUGUAUCGAUGACAGCCAAGUUUUGUUGUAGUCAGCUCGGUCGUCAGCGGUAAAAAAUUCCGAAUAGCAGUUUUGUGUGCGGAAAAUGUAGAAAAUUCACGCUCAGCUGCGUGAAUUUCCGCAUUUUCCUCACGGGAGAAAAUAUAGUGUGUGGUGCAGUGCUGAAUCAUUCAACAGUUGCGGCAUUUCAACAAUGACAAGGACGUCAAGCCGGUGCGCGGUGCAUAAGCAAUCAACCCAGAGCUUGUUGAAUGCCGAUCUAAGCAAGAUCUGCAUGAGGGCCAACGGACUUAUUGUAAAAAUACUAAUUUUCCCUUCCUUUAAUUUGACUGCAAUCUUGACUGCAAUAGUUUCAUCAUCAAACUUUUUUUCGUGAAAUCAAAUGUGAAACAUAUUACUGAGUAGGACCGUAGAACCAUCUUUUGCAUUUGGUAGCUUUGCAAGGUUUUUAAAUAUAGGUUCGCUCUUUAAACUUGGAACACAUGCAUGCCUUUGAAUCAAAUUCUAUAUUGUAUGCUGUAUUCCACAAGCUGUAGUUCAUCAAAUGUCCAUAAAUGCUACAAUAAUGGUUAAGCACGCUGUAAUGUUACUUUUGUACCUCAUCACCCACUAAAUGCAACUACAUUAGUGGUCUAAUAACACUUAGCGCGCUUCGGCACGGUUCCAUCAUGCCGCUUAUAGUGUUGCCACAUAUAAUGCUUAGUUUGCUAAACCCAGUUAUCUGGCUGGUGGGACAUGGGAGCCCAAGCUUCAUCCAUUAAUGCAAUUAGACGUUUAUUGAACAAUAAAAUGAGCGAUUCGAAUAUUUGAAGAACUUUUCAAAGAACAUAGAAGCUUGUGUAAAGUCAACAUUUAACGAACUUAAUCUAUGCAAUAUCUUGCAUUUUAACGCUUCGAAUGAUGUUCAAGUAUAGGUUCAAGUUGUAGUAUAUCGAGUUUUUUUAGUGCUACAAUAAUGGUUAAGCACGCUGUAAUGUUACUUUUGUACCUCAUCACCCACUAAAUGCAACUACAUUAGUGGUCUAAUAACACUUAGCGCGCUUAGGCACGGUUCCAUCAUGCCGCUUAUAGUGUUGCCACAUAUAAUGCUUAGUCUGCUAAACCCAGUUAUCUGGCUGGUGGGGCAUGGGAGCCCAAGCUUCAAUAAUUAAUGCAAUUAAACAUUACUCGAUUUACGACAUGAUUGAUUCAAAUAUUAGAUAAUUGUUCGAUCUGUGUUCUUAAAAUGUAGCCCUGAAUGUAGCAUAAAAUAUACAAGCUUCUAGUCCAAAUGCAUAAAGAUAGUUCAGAUUCACUGUUUUUCAGAAUUUUCUCAAGCAAUCAGUAACAAAAGUAAAAAGCAGAAAUAGAUCAAAUCAUGCCAAAAUGUUCAUAAUCGCUUGUAAAAUAAAACUAUUCCAAAACAUUAGAAUUUUCUGUUUCACAAUAGAAAACAAUUCCCAAACCUUUGGAUAGGGCAAAACAGUAUGUUCCGUAAUCACAAUUGAAAGCAAUUUCAGAACAAUAGAAUCUAAUGUGUAAUUAAGUCAGUGCUCAAAGAACAAUAUGAAAACAUAAGAAUCUUGUGUAUCACAAUAGAAAACAAUUCCCAAACCAUUGAAUGAAAUGUGGAAUCAGUAAUAAAAUUACUACUCAAAACAAUACGUUUACCGUGCAAUUCACUGUUUGAAACAAUUCGAAAACAUAAGAAUCUUCUGUAUCACACAAGGUAUCACAAUAGAAAACGAUACCCAAACCAUUGAAUUCAAUGUAAAUACAGUACAAACAGUAUGUUCUGUUUCACAAUAGAAAACAAUUCCAAAACAAUUGAAUCAAAUGUGGAACCAUAAAUAAAAUCACUACCCAAAACAAUA